RNAcentral lists this long non-coding RNA (3985 nucleotides) under Sus scrofa (pig). RNAcentral's name for it is "lncRNA (ENSSSCG00000062668.1)". The record is from RNAcentral. Lineage: Eukaryota; Metazoa; Chordata; Mammalia; Artiodactyla; Suidae.
AGUGUUCAGUGUUUGUUAGUGCUUUGGAUGUUAGCUAUUCUAACAGGAAGGUAGUGGUAUUUCAUUGUUGUUUUAAUGUCCAUUGCCCUGACAACAUAUGAUGUGAGAUAUUCCCAUGUUUUGUUUUGUUUUGUUUUGCCAUCUGUAUAUUUUAUUUGAUGAAAUGGCUGUUAAAGUUUUUGGCUCAUUUUGUUGAGUGGGCUUUUGAUUUCUUGUCAAGUUUUAAGAGUUUUUUUUAUAUAUAUAUAUUUUGGAUAACAGUCCUUUAUCAAGUGUGUCUUUUGAAAAUAUUUUCUCCCAGUCUGUGGCUUAUCUUUUCAUCCUCCAGACAUUGUGUAAUACAGAGCAAGUUUUAAAAUAAUAAUGAAGUCCUGCUUAUUAAUUAUUUAUUUCAUGGAUCAUGUUUCUGGUGCUGUAUCUAAAAAGUCAUACCCAUGUCCAAGCUUGUUUACGGUUUUUCCUAUAUUAUCUUUUAGGAGAUUUAUAGUUUUGCAUAUAACAUAUAUAUCUGUAAUAUAUUUUGAGAUACUUUUGUGAAGGGAGUAAGAUCUGCAUCUAGAUUUUUUAUUUUUUAUUUUUUGCAUGUAUGUAUCCAGUUGUUCCACCGUCAUUUGCGGAAAAUAUUUUUUUUUUCCCAUUGUAGUGCCUUUGCUCCUUUGACAAAGAUCAUUUGACUAUAUUUAUAUAGGUCUAUUUCUGGGCUCUGUAUCCUGUUCCAUUGAUCUAUAUGUUUGUUGUUUCUCCAAUACAGUGUUUUGAGUACUGUAGCUUUAUAGUAAGUUUUGAACUCAGGUAGUGUUAGCCCUUGAACUUGGGUCUUCUCCUUCAAUACUGUGUUGACUAUUCUGGGUCCUCUGACUCUCCAUAUGAAACGUAGAAUGUGUUUGUCAAUAUCCACAAAAUUAAUUGCAGAGAUUUUGAUUGAGAAUGCAUUGAAUCUAUAGAUCAAGUUGAGAAGGAUUGAUAUCUUGACAAUAUGGAAUCUUUAUUCAUAAAAAUGUAAUAUCUAUUUAUUGAUUCGUUCAUCACAGUUUUGUAAUUUUACACACAGAUCUUACAUAUAUUUUGUUAGAUUCUGAUAGCUAUUUUAAAAAGUCAUUUAAAAGUGCAUGUAAUAUGUAUCAGUAAAUCAAAACAAAUUUAGGAUUAAUAAGAAGAGAUUUUAUUCAAGAAGAGUAUUUAAUUAAGAAUAAAUAUUAAACCAAAAUAUCUUCAAGCAUCUUAAAAAUGAGAUAUAAAAUAACUUUUAUAGAGAGAAUAAAACAAGACUAGAAGGAACCAGGAUCAGGAAUUUGGAUAAGAAAUGUUUGCCUGAGGUCUUUUUAUAUAUAGUGGGGGCAGCUCUGCCUUGACCUAACAAUGUGUCUAUGUUCAAAAUCCUUUGGGUAUUUACCAACAGCAUAUUAAUGUGAGGCAAAUAUAAAUUCUGAAGGUCAAUAAUUCAGUACAUCAUGGAUAUAUUAGUCAAAUUUCUUUAGAGAAAAAGAUCCACCAGGGCAUAUGUACAUACAUAUAAAUAUAAAUUUGUAUGUGUUUAUUUAUUUAACUAAUUUUAAGGAAUUAGGUCAUGUGGUUAUAGAGGGUGGAAGUCAAAAAUCUGCAGGAAGGAAAACCAGGAAAGAACUGACAUUGGAGUCCUAACUGCUGGCAGAUUUCUUUUCUCCUCAGUCAUUUUUUCCAUUCAGGCCUUGAGUUGAUUAGAUAAGGCUCAUUUAUAUUAUGGAGGGGAAUCAGCUUUAAUCAAUAUCCAUAAUCUCAAUGUUAACCUCACCCCAAAAAACCUGAAAGAAGCUUUCAGCAUAAUGCUUGACCACACAUAUCUGGGCAUCAUGGCCCAGCCAGGUCUGACACAUAAGAUCAAUCAUCAAAAUGAAAAAUGAAGACUUUUUUUUUGACAGACCCUCUUCAUUGUGACUUAGUAAUGUGCACAAAACUAUCUGAGAUAUUAAUUAUAUUGUCAGACUUUCAGAUGGAUCUGUUUAGUAUUCCAAUUCAUUAGACCUUAGAUAAUGGACAUGAAUUUAUGAUUUUAGCCAUCUUCCAGAAUGGUUACAGAUACAGGUGGCCAUCUACCUUCCUUUGAGAAACAGUGUUAGUGAUUUUCUUCUGACAUUCAGUGUUUAAUUAACGGCUUUAUGAAGUCAUGGAGAUUUUAAGCACCUGCAAUUGUUCAUCACAGUCAUGUUUAAUAGUCUGGAAAUAAUAUGUUGUGUUCUAUAAUGUUCUUUGAAUCCAUUACUUUCUUUUACUUUUUUGUCACUAAUUUACUAGGAUCAUUAUGCUUACAUUUUUUACCACUCUGAGUAAUAACACUUGUGAAAUGUGAACUCUAAAUAUAUUCCUCUGUGGAUGUUCUUUUAGCUGCUUAUAUAUUCGAUGCUCAGUUAAGAUUGUCAAUGAAUUAAUUAAAUAUUUUAAUUCAUAUAAUCAAAUUUAUAUUCAUUUAAUAAAUUAUCCUGGAAAAGAGAGAAGACAGUACUGGAAAAACAGGUGAAAUCCAAAUAAAAUCUGGAGCUUAGUUAAUAGUAAUGUACUGAUAUCAUUUUUUAAACGAUAUAUACAUAUAAAUAUAUGCACACUGUUAUAAUGAAGAGUGUUGAUAAUAUGAGAAACUUGAUGAGUAUUCAAAACUCUAUGUAUAACAUUGUUAUUUUUCCAUUCCAAAAUAAAAUAUUACAAAGAUUUGCAUAUACUUGUAUGUAUAUAGGUAUGUAUAUACAUAUUUACUAUGGGCUUCAGAUGCAUUUUUUGAACUUACUCCACAUUAUCAUCAUUUACAUCUGUUUCCUUCACAAAAGAAUUAUCUAUAUUAUGUAUGGUUUGUUUAAAUUUUGUAGAUGCUUGAACCUAUUACCAACAAUGACCAUUUUAUUUCUUGUUUCUUUAGUAGAUUGAUUCCAAAAACAGCCCUGACUUCUGAGCCCACUUUGUUUCUAUAUCUUCAACAAUGUUUCUUUGCAGCUUCUCUCAUGAUGAGUUUAUUUCCACAUUCCAAAUUUCUGCUCUGGCCUUAUGAUUUGCUUUUGCCAGUAGCAUGUAGCAGAAAUACUGUUGUGCCACUUCCAAAUAUAAGCUUCAAAAAGCUUGGCAUGGUUCUUUUCACUCUAUUGGCAAAUUGCUUCUGCCAUGGGAAAAGAUUUUGGCUAAUAUAAUGGAUCCUGAGAAACACACUGUCUGAUUCCUCAGUUAACUCAGAGGACAGUCAACUGCCAGUUAUGUAUCAGAGGCCUUCUUAGAAUAGCUGGUCUCCAGCCAGACAUAGAGCUAACCACUGAAAUAUAAUGAGUCCAACUGAGGUGAGCCAAACAGUACUUGCUCAAAUUAUCUAUGGAUUCAUCAAAAUUAACAAACAGUACUUACUUAUUGCUAAUGAGGAAUAAGUAACAGAAAUGACUUCUUAUCAUACACAUAUUGGGUUUUUUUUUUACAUUUUAGCAAACUUUUUGUGUAUUAUUUCAAAUAAUUAAGCAGAUUCAUUUCUAUACUCUGACAAUUAAUUUUAAGCAUAUAGUGUUAGAUUCUCCAUCUUUUGGUUACUGAAAAAUCAAACUGUUUUAUCCAUUAAUUUAUUAAUGUAUUGGUUUAUAUUUAACAGAUCUUUCAAUGAUAAGCCAUCUAUACAUUCUUGAAAUAUAGAGCAGAGUUCAUUUUGUCCAUUUAAGAAAUAAAUUGUGGUUCCAAUUAUAUAAUCCUUUAUUUAGAAUUUGUUUUUCAUUGUCAUUUAAAGAUAAAUAGGGAGUUCCCGUGGUGGCGCAGUGGUUAGCGAAUCUGACUAGGAACCAUGAGGUUGCGGGUUCGGUCCCUGCCCUUGCUCAGUGGGUUAACAAUCCGGCGUUGCGGUGAGCUGGGGUGUAGGUUGCAGACGUGGCUCAGAUCCCGCGUUGCUGUGGCUCUGGCGUAGGCCGGUGGCUACAGCUCCGAUUCGACCCCUAGCCUGGGAACCUCCAUAUGCCGCAGGAGCGGCCCAAAGAAAUAGCAAAAAGAC